This 113-nucleotide ribosomal RNA is filed under the name Peromyscus maniculatus bairdii (prairie deer mouse). Lineage: Eukaryota; Metazoa; Chordata; Mammalia; Rodentia; Cricetidae. The record is from RNAcentral.
GUAUACAGCCAAAUUACCCUAAAGAGCACUGAUUUCAUCUGCUCGCCAAAGCUAAAGUGGGUGGGGCCUGUUUAGUACUUGGAUGGGAGAAAACAUAUAUGAAAAUGUAUAUA